CAGCAGCCGCGGGAAUACGAAGGGUGCAAGCGUUAAUCGGAAUUACUGGGCGUAAAGCGCGCGUAGGUGGUUUGUUAAGUUGGAUGUGAAAUCCCCGGGCUCAACCUGGGAACUGCAUCCAAAACUGGCAAGCUAGAGUAUGGUAGAGGGUGGUGGAAUUUCCUGUGUAGCGGUGAAAUGCGUAGAUAUAGGAAGGAACACCAGUGGCGAAGGCGACCACCUGGACUGAUACUGACACUGAGGUGCGAAAGCGUGGGGAGCAAACAGGAUUAGAUACCCCCGUAGUCCCUGUCUCUUAUAC
This 301-nucleotide ribosomal RNA is filed under the name uncultured bacterium. RNAcentral's name for it is "partial 16S ribosomal RNA". It matches the Rfam family "Bacterial small subunit ribosomal RNA", at positions 509 to 807 of the family's 1533-position model. The record is from RNAcentral.